UACGGGAGGCAGCAGUGAGGAAUAUUGGUCAAUGGGCGAGAGCCUGAACCAGCCAAGUAGCGUGAAGGAUGACUGCCCUAUGGGUUGUAAACUUCUUUUAUAAGGGAAUAAAGUGGAGUAUGUAUACUCCUUUGUAUGUACCUUACGAAUAAGGAUCGGCUAACUCCGUGCCAGCAGCCGCGGUAAUACGGAGGAUCCGAGCGUUAUCCGGAUUUAUUGGGUUUAAAGGGAGCGUAGGCGGAUGUUUAAGUCAGUUGUGAAAGUUUAAGGCUCAACCUUGAAAUUGCAGUUGAUACUGGAUAUCUUGAGUACAUUGAAUGUGGGCGGAAUUCGUGGUGUAGCGGUGAAAUGCUUAGAUAUCACGAAGAACUCCAAUUGCGAAGGCAGCUCACAGUAAUGUAACUGACGCUGAUGCUCGAAAGUGUGGGUAUCAAACAGGAUUAGAUACCCUGGUAGUCCACACAGUAAACGAUGAAUACUCGCUGUUUGCGAUAUACAGUAAGCGGCCAAGCGAAAGCGU
RNAcentral lists this ribosomal RNA (520 nucleotides) under uncultured bacterium. RNAcentral's name for it is "bacterial SSU rRNA". It matches the Rfam family "Bacterial small subunit ribosomal RNA", at positions 340 to 860 of the family's 1533-position model. The record is from RNAcentral.